Molecule: long non-coding RNA, 457 nt
Organism: Drosophila novamexicana
Lineage: Eukaryota; Metazoa; Arthropoda; Insecta; Diptera; Drosophilidae
Exons: 2
Source: RefSeq, a predicted model, not a curated record
GCCACAAUGUAGACACCUUUAAAAUCUUGCUGAAACUUUAUCAACUAUAUCAAAGGGCACACAUUUUUAGUGUAUUUGAUCUGUCGCAACUUCUCAACUCAAAGUGAAAAGCGCAGCGGCCAGCACAGAGCCAAGUGGCAUGGAAAAUGAAAUGCGCAACAACUGUGGCCGGGCCCUCAAGUCUGCAGCUGAAAGCUGAGGCGCGCUUUGGAGCUGCUUAACAAAUCUCGUGACAGCGCCCCAAAGUGGCCCCGAAACAAACAAACAAAUGGUUAACAAGAACUGAGCCAAGUCAUUGACAGACUGCGAAAGAAAUAGGGAAAACCAAAAAAGAAAAACUACUUUAUAAGCAUGAAAGUCAAUGGAAGUGCGAGCGAGUCGGCAAAAACGAAAAGUUGAGAAAAAUAUAAUGCAGAGAAAGUAAAAACCGAGCAACUUCUUGCGUCUGGACGCUUAA